Molecule: ribosomal RNA, 464 nt
Filed under: uncultured bacterium
Lineage: Bacteria
Description: partial 16S ribosomal RNA
Rfam family: Bacterial small subunit ribosomal RNA
Source: RNAcentral
GACGAACGCUGGCGGCGUGCUUAACACAUGCAAGUCGAACGGAAAGGCCCUGCUUUCAGGGUACUCUAGUGGCGAACGGGUGAGUAACACGUGGGUGAUCUGCCCUGCACUUCGGGGUAAGCCUGGGAAACUGGGUCUAAUACCGGAUAUGAGCCAUUUUUAGUGUGAUGGUUGGAAAGUUUUUUCGGUGUAGGAUGAGCUCGCGGCCUAUCAGCUUGUUGGUGGGGUAAUGGCCUACCAAGGCGGCGACGGGUAGCCGGCCUGAGAGGGUGGACGGCCACAUUGGGACUGAGAUACGGCCCAGACUCCUACGGGAGGCAGCAGUGGGGAAUAUUGCACAAUGGGCGCAAGCCUGAUGCAGCGACGCCGCGUGGGGGAUGACGGCCUUCGGGUUGUAAACUCCUUUCGCCAGGGACGAAGCGUUUUGUGACGGUACCUAGAUAAGAAGCACCGGCUAACUACGU